UGGGGAAUUUUGGACAAUGGGCGAAAGCCUGAUCCAGCAAUGCCGCGUGUGUGAAGAAGGCCUUCGGGUUGUAAAGCACUUUUGUCCGGAAAGAAAUCCUUGGCUCUAAUACAGUCGGGGGAUGACGGUACCGGAAGAAUAAGCACCGGCUAACUACGUGCCAGCAGCCGCGGUAAUACGUAGGGUGCAAGCGUUAAUCGGAAUUACUGGGCGUAAAGCGUGCGCAGGCGGUUUGCUAAGACCGAUGUGAAAUCCCCGGGCUCAACCUGGGAACUGCAUUGGUGACUGGCAGGCUAGAGUAUGGCAGAGGGGGGUAGAAUUCCACGUGUAGCAGUGAAAUGCGUAGAGAUGUGGAGGAAUACCGAUGGCGAAGGCAGCCCCCUGGGCCAAUACUGACGCUCAUGCACGAAAAGCGUGGGGGAGCAAAACAGGAUUAGAUACCCUGGUAGUCCACGCCCUAAAACGAUGUCAACUAGUUGUUGGGGAUUCAUUUCCUUAGUAACGUAGCUAACGCGUGAAGUUGACCGCCUGGGGAGUACGGUCG
Molecule: ribosomal RNA, 544 nt
Filed under: uncultured bacterium
Lineage: Bacteria
Description: partial 16S ribosomal RNA
Rfam family: Bacterial small subunit ribosomal RNA
Source: RNAcentral